This 246-nucleotide long non-coding RNA is filed under the name Elaeis guineensis (African oil palm). Its description in RNAcentral is "long non-coding RNA (EGUI_LNC077751)". Lineage: Eukaryota; Viridiplantae; Streptophyta; Magnoliopsida; Arecales; Arecaceae. The record is from RNAcentral.
GUGCUAGAUUUAUAUCUAUCUCCUAGACAUCAAGAUGAUAUCAAGUACUAGAAAGUAGAAAUAGGAAAUAAACAAUAUUUUCAUCAUAGACAACACUCUAAACCUUGGUUGAAAAUGUUAGUUUAAGAGUAAGAGAAGCUAAUAUAGUCCCCAUUUUAUAGCUUCAAGUAUUUAUAUUUCAAAUGUGAUAAAAAUAUACCCCUUAAAAGUUAAAUGUUAGAUAUUUGAAGCAAAGAUAUGACUGGC